RNAcentral lists this transfer RNA (67 nucleotides) under Fukomys damarensis (Damara mole-rat). It matches the Rfam family "tRNA". Rfam says of the family: Transfer RNA (tRNA) molecules are approximately 80 nucleotides in length. Their secondary structure includes four short double-helical elements and three loops (D, anti-codon, and T loops). Lineage: Eukaryota; Metazoa; Chordata; Mammalia; Rodentia; Bathyergidae. The record is from Rfam by way of RNAcentral.
GGGGAUGUAGCUCAAUAGUAGAGCACUUGCCUAGCAUAUGCAAGGCCCUGGGCUCCGCCCAUCCCCA